AGGACGAACGCUGGCGGCGUGCCUAACACAUGCAAGUCGAACGGAGUGAGGAGCUUGCUCCUAACUUAGUGGCGGACGGGUGAGUAACGCGUGAGUAACCUGCCUCUGAGAGGGGAAUAACGUUCUGAAAAGAACGCUAAUACCGCAUGACACAUAUUUGCCGCAUGACAGAUAUGUCAAAGAUUAUAUCGCUCAGAGAUGGACUCGCGUCCGAUUAGUUAGUUGGUGAGGUAACGGCUCACCAAGACCGCGAUCGGUAGCCGGACUGAGAGGUUGAACGGCCACAUUGGGACUGAGACACGGCCCAGACUCCUACGGGAGGCAGCAGUGGGGGAUAUUGCGCAAUGGGGGCAACCCUGACGCAGCAACGCCGCGUGAAGGAUGAAGGUUUUCGGAUUGUAAACUUCUUUUCUCAGGGACGAAAUCUGACGGUACCUGAGGAAUAAGCUCCGGCUAACUACGUGCCAGCCGCCGC
RNAcentral lists this ribosomal RNA (475 nucleotides) under uncultured bacterium. RNAcentral's name for it is "bacterial SSU rRNA". It matches the Rfam family "Bacterial small subunit ribosomal RNA", at positions 26 to 518 of the family's 1533-position model. The record is from RNAcentral.